CCCUCUGGAUCUCCAGAUUGAUACUGGGGUUUCCUGAUGUUCUCACUUUAUGCUGGCCCUAGUCUUAUUUCAAUUCUCUUAUGCCCUGCAUAGCUGUUAAAACAAAAUCCUAAACUCAGCAAUGUUCAUCGCAAGGUGAAUUCAUUUCCCUCAGAAAUCUUGCAUUCUCUAAAUCUGUGGGGGCAAAGGGGUGGCAGAGUAAGAGGGAGGAUCCCAUGUCCAUCUCUUGCAUUACACUUUUACAUUAGACUUCACUUGGAAAUAAAUUUAACAACUGCUCCAGCCAUUAAGAGGCACCUAAGCAUGGCUCGAUGAGCAGUGUGUAGGUCUGUGCCUGGGAUCCAGCCCCGUGGAACCUGGGCCACUGAAGUGGAGCACGUGAACUCAACUAUUACACACCUGGCCAGCCCCUAUGCUGCCUUAUUGAACUGGGCUGGGCUGAAUAACUACUUUUCUAGUAUGUUUUGUGUGGGCUUCCUACAAUACACAAUUUGUGAAAAUGACCCUCAGGCCUGUUUUGAUAAUCAAUCUUGGAGCCCCCUCUGAAUCCUCAAUUUGUUGAAAUGUCAAUUUGCUAAUGUUUUUUCUAAACCAAUAACCUGAAGUGUGGAAAUGCGUGAAAUGUAGACAUGAAACAUAUUAACAUUUUCAAAGUUGCACAGUCUUUGAAAUGGUACAAAAGCAGUUUCGUCUUGUUAGGUGAAGGCAAGUUUGGUUUGUACCCUGAGGAAAGUAUAGGAAGGGUGUCCUUUAAACACCCAGGAUGGAGAAUGUAGCAUCAGUGUCACAUUGAAAUUUUUAAAAAUCUCCAGGCUGAUUUCACAUUCCAUAAAGGACAGAAUCCUUUGCGAGGAGGAGGCAAAAGGAAGGAGAAAUAGACCCGGUGCCUGCUGCCUGUCUCCCUAGCUGGGAUCCAAGAGCUGCUUUUAAAUUUAUGAGAUCAGAACAUCAAAAGAUAGCAGCUAAAAAUAUUCAUGUAGAGUGGAAAUUUUGACAAAAAUUUAGAGGUUUAUUUUUCCCCUCAAGAAAUGAGUGCAUGUGUUUUACAAGCUAUUUCUCAGGACUUGGUUUACAUAGAGACCCACUUAUUAAAGAAGGAAUCAAUACAAAGGAUUCUACAGAACAUCAUCAACUCAGUCAGAUGCUCUGGGACUGCACUGUCACUGGUGACCUACCCCCUAUGCUCCUAUGCGAGGUAAAUACAAGACUUCUCAAAGGGUCCCCCACUUAAGCGAGGCCGUGCUGGGCCUCCAACAGCACCAUGGAAGGGGGUUUCCCUUCCACCCUCUGCAGUGCACUUUCUUGAAGGAAUUAGAAUCUGUGAGCUGCUGAACUCUUAUGAAGCCAGGGACAGAGGCUGGGCUGUCCAACAGAGUCUGUAAAAGGUUUAGAAUGUAGAUUUCAGUUGGAAAGUUCCUGACAGUUUCUCAUUUGGAAAGCGAAUAAAUACGCAGUGGGUUUUUUUGGUACAGAAAAUAUUACAAAGCCCAUAAAUGUAUGUAUAGAAUAACAUGUAC
This 1517-nucleotide long non-coding RNA is filed under the name Equus caballus (horse). RNAcentral describes it as "lncRNA (ENSECAG00000047335.1)". The record is from RNAcentral. Lineage: Eukaryota; Metazoa; Chordata; Mammalia; Perissodactyla; Equidae.